Molecule: RNA transcript, 22685 nt
Organism: Marmota monax (woodchuck)
Lineage: Eukaryota; Metazoa; Chordata; Mammalia; Rodentia; Sciuridae
Gene: Bbs12
Gene name: Bardet-Biedl syndrome 12
Exons: 9
Source: RefSeq, a predicted model, not a curated record
CCUUCUCCGCCGUGAAACGGAAAUUCCCGAGCGCGGACGGGGCGGGGGCGUUUCCGGCUUUGGCUGCCGGCGUGAAUCCCAGGUCUGUGGGGCUCUUCAGGUCGGGCGCGGGGAGAACCUGCGCCUUCCGAGGCCGCUGGCCGCGAGGGCCGGGUGAGAGGACGACGGUGGCCCGCGCCCAGCAGGGCCUCUGCGGCCCCGGCGGAGAACCAGCUGAGGCCGGGGCGAGGGUGCGGUUUAGCCACCGCAGGUCGCCCAGCUGGAGCCGAGUGCUUCUUGGAGCACUGCGUUAGCGGGGCUUCUGAGACCAGGAAGGAACGUGGUCCAGCGGGCCUCAGCCUGACCCCGGCUUCAGGCUCGGCUGCAUCGGGUCUGAUCUGACGGUGUGUACUCAAAUUUGGGAUAACAAAUGUGAAAAUCAUUUACCAAAUAAUUUUUGAGUGCCUGCAGUAAAGUAUACAACAAUGCUGUAGGUACUUGAGAUACUUCCAUGACUAAAUUGCUCUCCUGGAAAUUAUAUUCUAACAGGGUUCAUAAAUGAUAAGUAAACUGUAUGCUACUAAGAGUAUCCAGGGUGUAGAGGGAGAAGAGUUUGUGUUAUUAAUAGGAUGCUCAGGGUGGGCUGUACUGAAAAGGAAAUUUGAGAAAAUAUUUAAAGGUGGUGAAACAGUAGAGUUCUUGGAGAAGGAGUAUUCCAGAAAGGGAGAACAACUAGAAUAGAAACCCUAAGGUGGAGAGCAGGCUUUGCAUGUUCCAGGAACAGGAUGGAGGCCAAAGCAGAGUGAGGUGGAGUCAGAAGGGAAAGGGAAGAAGUGCAUGUUCCUGGGGCUUGUGAGCACUGGGACUCUCGUAUCAGUGAGCUGGGGAGGCUUUGCAAGAUUCCCACCAUCAGUGAAGGGAGUCCUAUGUCAGACAAAGGUCCACGACUUUCUGAGAGGCUUUUAAACAGUGGGUUGAUAGGAUUAGACUCUGUGUUGGGAAUAGACUGGAGAUGAGGAAACUGUUGAUUUUUAUGAUGAAAGGCUGAUUGUCCCCAGGCCGCUCCUGAGAAACGCGUCUUAGUGUUGAGCUGAGUACCUCGGACAAAACUAGACAUGACCUUGUGAAAAGAAAAUGCCUUCUGAUUUCAAAAUCCUGGAUAAACAGAGGCGACUCUGCUGGUCUGUCACUCAGGGAGGAGGCAGGAAGGUGCCAGAGGUCCUGUCCCCCAUCACCUUCACUGUCUUUGCCUUUGUAUGCCCAGCCUCUUAGAAGAUUACUACUCAAAGUUGGAGUAGGUUCUUCAAGAUGCUGAAACAGGUCUUUUGUAAAUAUUUAUUUUCAUAGCAGUUGUAUGUGAUAUUUUGCAUGUAGACUAGUUUUUUUAAUUGUAUGCCUUCUUUGGGAAGGUUUUUUUCAUAUAAAUUCCAUACCAACUAAGUUUGGAAUAGCUCAUGAAUUUUUCCAUUUGUGCAUUAAUAUCCUUGUGGUUCAGACAGUACAGAAAGGAGACCGUAAGCAGACAUCUUAAAAAGACAUGGGCCUAUGCCUGAUAAGAGUGUUAACCAGGCUUGGAAGAAGGCAGAGGCCUGAGGAAUGGAGACCGUGGGUAGAGAAUGCAGCCCGAGGGCAGCAUCGUGAGGCAGUUGGUAGCUUGAACAAACCUGGGUUCUAGUCCAUAGCCCUUUACUUACUAGUCACGAGGUCGUGUGUGUUGAUUAUCACGCCUCCUUUCCGCAUCACCAGGAGGCUGAUGGCAGUACCACCUCACACUGCUGCUGUGAGGGCCACGUGACAUAGGCCUGGUAAGUGCCUCACACCCGGUGAACUCUCAACAUGUGUUAGAAAUGAAAAGCAAAACAAACAAACAAAAACAGUCUUUUUAAGCUAUUCCUUUCAACAGUUUAUUUUGAAGCACCUGGAUAUUCAUGAGGAAAAAGGAGCCAAUGUUUCCAGUAAUUUACAAAAAUCAGUUUAAGAUGAAUUAUAAACAUAAAUGUAAAGAAAAAGUUUGCAGCCCGGGUUCCUGACAUCAAAAUGUACUGCAAAGCUGUGUUGUCACAACAGUAUGGUGCUGGCACCAAGUGAACACAGGGGCAGUGGAAUUGAUUGAGAAACCAAAAAUAAACCCAUGUACCUAUGGCCAGUUGGUAUUUGACAAAAAUGCAAAGGCCACUCAGUUGAGAGAAGACUCUCUUCAACCAAUGGUGCUGAACAGUUGGAUAUCUACAUGCAAAACAUGAAGUUGGGCUGGGCUUGGUGGUGCACGCUUGUAAUCCUGGCAGCUUGGGAGGCAGAGGCAGGGGGAUCACGAAUUCAAAGGCACCUUCAGCAAAAGCAAGGCACUGAGCAACUCAGUGAGACCCUGUCUCUAAAUAAAAUACAGACUAGGGCUGGGGAGGUGGCUCAGUGGUCAAGUGCCCCUGAGCUCAAUCCCCAGUACCACACAAAAAAUGAAAUUGGACCUCUGCUUAUACCAUAUACAAAAGUUAACCCCAAAUUGAUCAACACUGUUAAGGGAUGAAUUUAUAAUUUAAAGAUGAUGUUUGGUUAAAUAUGAAUGAUCUUGGAUGUGGCAGUGGAAUGAUAUGGCACCAAGAACAUGAGCAACAGAAACAAAAAAAGUGGACUGCAUCAAAACUAAAAACUUGUGCAUGUCCUCAACAAUGUAGAAAUCACUGCAUUUGUUUUCCGCAAACGGGAGUGUGUUUGCAAAUUGUAUACAGUGGUCUUUCACGUCCUUGGUUGACUGGUUCCAGGACUCCCCUGUGAAUACCCAAGUCCACAGGUUUGCCAGUUACUUUUACAUCUUCCCAUAUACUUUAACUCUCCUCUGGGAUUACUUAUUACUUCCUAAUAAAAUGUAAAUGCCACAUGAACAGUUGUUAUGAGGCAUUUUGAAGGAAAGUGACAAGAACUUGUCAGCUGCAGGUGCAGGUUUUUUCCCCACGUUUUUGUGUCCACAGUUGGAUCCCUGCGUGCAGGACCCUGAUUGGCACUUGCUGUUGUUUGAUAAGGGUCUAGUACCCAGCGUGCACUUGCAGCUCAACACAAGAAAAUCAGCAGCGCUUCUUAAAUGGGUGAAAUACUUGAAAAAACAUUUCUCCAUUAAGAUUUACAAAUGGAAGCUGGAUGCAGUGCUGCGCUCCUGGAAAUUCCACUGCUCUCAGGAGGCUGAGGCUGGAGGAUGGCAAGUUCAAGGCCAGCGUGGGCAACUUAAUGAGAUCCUGUCUCAAGAUUCUGAAACUUUGAGAAUCUCAUGGGCCAGUUGUCAAAAUGCAGAUCCCCAGAGCCAGAAGCUAUCUUUUAAUUGAAGCCUGAUCAGCCACAGGUUGGUAACAGCUGUUGACCGCUGGGUUCACUGUACCUCCCAUUCUACUGCUGAGAUGACAGCAAGGAGCCCUGGGCCUCCUGUUUCUAGGACGGGGGACCACCUUCAUCACCUAGCAGUGCGAGGGCUGGAGAAUAAGGGCAUGAGCCCACCCAGUGAGGAGUGGACCUGGAGGUGUGGGUGAGGUGCCCUGAAGCCUGCACUCCUGGGGCUCAUGUGGUCUGUCUCCUUACUGCAAUAAGCCACAGUGUGAACAUGGCACUUUCACUGAGUCAUAUGAGACCUUUUGGUGGAUCAUUGAACCCGAAGGUGGUCUUGGAGACAACAAAAUGGCCUUGGCACUACCAAACUCUGUUCGGGUAUGAAAGAAAAGUUUUCGGCAGAUACAACAUUUUUGUUUGUAUGUGGUGCUGAGGAUCGAACCCGGGCCGCACGCAUGCCAGUGAGCGCGCUACCACUUGAGCCACAUCCCCAGACCAGAGGUGGAAGUAAAGACUGUCUGUCACCUUUACUCAUGAGUCCACAAAAACGAACUGACUCCUGAAAACCAAGGGCAAGAGCUUUCCCUGAGUGCCAUCAAAGUAACUGACUUUUGAGAAAUUAUACUGUUUCGCAGUGUUUCAGGUGGUGUGGAAGUUCAAACCCAGCGCCUCACACAUGCUAGGAAAGCGCUCUACCACUGAGCCACAGCUCUGUCCCAAAAUCUACAUUUUCUUUUCCCCCACAUCUAUGACAAAUGCAGCAAGAAGUUCCUUAAAGAAAAGUAAAAUUUAAAGUAAAAAAAAAAAACUAGAAUAGCAUUCAAACUCAGAAGGUCAUUGACUCUGAUGAAGUUGUAAGUCAACAACUUAAAGGAACACGGGAUUUAAAAGCAGCUCCAAGUGCAUUUCCAGAGACCACUGUGGGAGCACAUGCCCUUCAACCAAGUGGAAAGGCUUCCUUCCCCUGGACCCCUAGGCCCAGGGCUCCAGCUCACAGUGGGUCUAUUCUCCAGCCAGGAAACAAAUCAACAGAACCCCAACAGCCUGUCCCAGCCAACCUUGAUCUCUUCUUCAUAACUAUAAAGACAGAUGAUUUCUUCUGGAUCCCGUCUGAAUCCCUUUCUAGCACAGAGGCUUGUUAUGGAGAUAAGAGACACUGCAUAUGAAAGGGCCCCCCCCCAACUCUCACAAAGUAAAGGCCACGCCAUUGCCAAAGCCUUUACUUUGAAUAAGUAGACUUCUUCCCUUUUGCUUUUAUUCUUCUCUUAAUCCAUCAUUAUUUUCUUGAUAACAAAACUGCUAUGUUAGAUCAUAAUGUUAUUCAGUUAGGCUGAAAAUACUUAAAAUAUUUUUUGUUUUGGCUCUCAGUAAAACUAACAAAAGUACUCUACACAGCCAACUUUUACUCUAGACUCAUGUGUUUAAAAUGACAAAAAAAAAAAAAAAAAAAAGCCAGAUGCAGUGUCACACGCCUGUAAUCCCAGCAGCUCAGGAGGCUGAGGCAGGAGGAUUAAGAGUUCAAAGCUACCUUAGCAACUUAGUGAGGCUCUAAACAGCUCGAGAUCCUGACUCUAAAUAAAAUUCAAAAAGGGGCUGGGGGUGUGUGGUUCAGCGGUUUAGUGCUCCUGAGUUCAAUCCCUUGUACCAAACAAAAACAAAACCCCACAAUGGAAAGAUUCCGCUUUCUAAAAAGUUGUUUUUCUCCCUCAUCUUCAACGACUGACCAGCUGCUCCCCACGCUCCUGUCAGGGAGGGCUGGGGUGCAGCUCAGUGGCAGAGCGCUUGCCUACUGUGCUGGGCACAGCGUCCCUCCCCUAAUACCAUAAAAUAAACAUAUAAAUUGCAGUGGAAGUGAAAUUACAGAAGAGGACGUGCACCCUCUGAAGCCAUCUUGUACACACCUCACUUAAACCAAUUGUCACAAAGGUCACUGCAGGUAAAGAACCCAGUGGCGACACUAAGUUGUGUUCUUAGCAUUCGUAAACAAAGUAGCAAGAGGACUGCAGGCCAGGGACCCAGGCCUGCCUUGGAGGCGUCUCCCUCCUGGGGGUUGGGAGCAGUCUGUGCCAGGGCCAGGGAGAGCUGAAAGGCAGUGUGCCCAGUAGGCGGCAUGCUUUGGAUUGUUUUCUGGUCAUCCCAAAAGGUGUCCUAUCAGACUGGAGAUUUGGCUCCCUCCCCAGCUGCUCUCCCCGCCAUUACAUUACUAUUUUUAAUAUUAAGGUUUUUGCCAGAGUACCAGUGCCUUCUUCAUCUUUUUAAUUCUCAGGUAAAAGAUCAGUUUAUCCGGAAAUAGGCCUCAAAGGAGAAAUGGAAAGAUUUUGUGAAAAGAUGAAUAUUUCAAGUGCAAUACAAAACCCCUCAUUCCUGGAUGGACGAGGAGAAUCAGCUAGGAGGCAGUGCUCGAUUUGAGGCUUUUCACUGACUUUGGUUAAAAGCACAACUUGUCUCUAUUUUACUUCUAUUAUUAAGAACCACAUAUAAUAAGCCAGAAAAUAUGCUCUAGAAAUUAUUUUAAAAGGUUAGAAAUUGAAUUAUAAAAAUAACAAUAAAAUUAAAACACUUAAAAACUUGGAAGAAAAGUAAAUGGGAUACGAAAUAAAGUAAAAAAGUUAUUAAAUCAGUUUUGUCAUAGUGACCAAAAAAUGGAGCAAUUCAAGGCUAAAUUAGCAUCACUGGUGAAAUGGCAUCUUUUUAAAAAUGUUUUCUAUUUUUAUUUUCUGGUACUAGGGAUUGAACCCAGGGGUGCUUAACCACUCGACGAGCCACAUCCCCAGUCCUUUUUGAUUUUGAGACAGGGUCUCACUAAGCUGCUUAGGGCCUUGCUAAAUUGCUGAGGCUGACCUCAAACUUGUGAUCCUCCUGGCUCUUGUGUUGCUGGGAUUACAGGCAUGUGAUACUUCGGCCAGUUUCAAAUUGCGUCUUGAAUUAAUUUGUGAUGUGGAAGUUAAUUCAGUUCUUUAAAUAUGCAUAAAAUAUGUUUAUGAGAGUGUGAAUCCAUCUGCUAGAGACAUGUGCGCACACAUGCAUGGGCGCGCGCGCGCACACACACACACACACACAACUUCUUUGUGCCCCACCUACCAGCUGAUGUUUCCUGAUUCCAUUAUCUUCAACGGAUGUGCUUUGAAUGGCCUCUGUGAGUAGUUAGUCACAGGCAGAGAAGAUGGUAUAAAGUUAACCAAGACUCUGCUUUUUCGGAAACUUGGAAUGUAGCAGAACAAAUUAAUUGCACGGAGAAUAAAUGGUAGUAAAAAUAGAGUAGAAUAAAAACCAUAAAUGAGACCCUUGAUGGUAAAGGAGUUCAAGGAGUGUCUUUUUGUUUGGAGAAAACAGAAGAGUUCCAUUAGGAGCAUUUAGUGUGGGCUUCGCAGGAUGCUGAGAAUGACAGAAAUGCAGGACCCCUGUGGUGUGAGCCAGGACACCUGGCAGCCAUGCAGAGAGGGAUCCCCAUGGAGGCUCUGUGUGUGGCCGCUCAAGUUCUGAGAACUACUUGCUGGACUACUUGCUGGGACUGAUCAGCAGGUACACAUAUCACCCAGCAAAGAGGACACAGUGGAAAUGGACAGGGAACUUGAGGCUAGCAACGUCUCAGAAGCAGAAUCUUUAGGACCUGUGAACAUCAACUUGGUGACAGAAGGUCACAGGUGUAGGCAAGUCUUGCAGGAGGAUGAGUGGAGGGAGAGAAGAGGGAGAAACGUGUUUACAGCCUGGGAGCCCCCGUCUGCUCUGGGAAGGUGUUAGCAAUCCUUGUUCUGCAUUUUAACAGUCUUGAUAAUCUCAUGCUCAAAUACUCAGAAAUUUUUAAACCAAACAAAAGAAGUCUGUAUAAUUCUAGCAUUUGGGAGGCUGAAGGAUCACAAGUGUGAUGCAACCUCAGAAACUUAGUGAGAUCCUGUCACAAAGCUGGGGAUGUGGCUCAGUGGUACAGCACCCCUGGGUUCAAUCCCAGAACCACACACACAUUACAAGAAACGAUGUUGUAGAAGGAGGCUCUCCAGGGAGUCAAAGGAUAACUGAUGGAGUUCAAUGCUUAAAAGGUAAACCAGCAAGAACCCACACUUGCCAAACAGAGUGCAGGCCAGUCAGUGCAAGGUGGGCAUUUCAGUCUGCCCAGACUUGUCUAGCACUUUCUCUGAAAAAUGCAGGAAGUAAGUGUGUCAUGCCUCCUAGAAAACCAAGGAGCUUGAAAUAGUUAUCUGAAGAGCUGUCCUUGAACUUGCUCACCAGUUUUUCCAUAUUGGUCAGUUCUUCAGAAUCUAGAGAGAUUUCAUGAAAGGUCAAUUACUCAUUCCGUACCAUUGCUAAAAUUCCUAAAAUUCCUGUCCAUCCUACUAGGCAAUGGCAACUGAUGUCCAGCCCCCAGGGACCAGAGCCUAGGAUGCCACACUAGUGACACACGCAGCUGGAGCUGCCUGUUCCUCGCCACCCCCCUGUCAGGCCUCCUGGCUCUGUUCCUGCCAGAGUGACUGCGUCCCCUGUCCCACCAAGGAAAUGCUAUCCUGGGCACACUCCAACCAAGCAGAGCAGCAUUCCGAGGGUUCCUCGGGGGUUGCUGAGCCAAGGCUCUGGCAGGAGGCCUCUGACCCAGGAGGACAGAGGCUGGGCUUCACAGCGACCUUCUGGCGCUAGGCUGUGGAGUCAUCGUCAUUGCACAGCCUUCUGAGCCCAUCCUAGGAGGCCUGUCCUAGGGGGCCCAUCCCAGGGGGCUGAUUGGGCUGGGCUGGUCCUGAGGAGCUUCGGGAGACAUACGCGAGCACUGCCCAUGAAAGAACGACCCACCAAAGCAGGGAGGCUCCCAGCCACCCUGCGCACUGACCCCUGUGCCCACCGCCCUGCCCCUGAGCCAGGACUGCCUCCCUGGGCGAAGCCGUGGAGGACCUGCUCAGAGCAGGGCUUGGCUUGCCUGGGCAACAACCAGGGACAGAGACGGGGACGUGGGCUCGGCCUCCGGCCUCCCAGGGGAUUUCCCCGCCUUGCUCCCAGGUCAGAGACAGGCUGGGGUCACUUGUUGGUGACAUGGUUUGCCUUGGGUUUCAGUAGCUCUCCUGGGCUUUGUGUUUUGAAGUGACAGGAGAAGGCAGUGAGAUGGAUGCUGUGCAGACUUAGCAGUCGAUCUGGGCUUUGGGGCAUGAGAAGGUUCUGAAGGUGACAUUGGGGAGGAAGGGCUGUCUGGGGACAGCGAGUCUAGUGUCCCCCAGACCCCAACUCUGGUGAGGAAUGGAACAUUUAACAUUCUCUGUCGCACGUAGGCUGUAUCUUCCUUGUGAUGUCCAAACUCCAGUUGGCUCUGGGUACACUGAAGUCCUCAGACUCUCCACAGCCCCUGGUCCUCCAGUGCCAGCUCUGGUGUGUGAGCCGGCCCUGGGCAGGCUGCCUGGCCAGGAGCCUGAGGCAGGGGUUCUUGUCCAGUGAUUGACAGAGAAACUGAGAAAUGAAGAAGUUAGCGGAGGCCUCCACUGGGACCUGCCUCAGCUGGCGCGAUGGCCCCACCAGGUUGGCCCCACCGGAGAUGGGGAACUGGCUUUUGUGCUCCCCGUCAGUAAUGCUGGUGCUUGGGGACAUGGCUCCUGUGCAGCUGGCACACUGGUUCCCUGAGAAGUGACAGGGGAGCAGUGGAGCAGCAGGUGGCGGCUGGGCUGCCAUUCAGAGCCCACCAUGCCAGGCUGGCCUGAGGGUGCAAGCCCGCCCCAGGUGAGCUGGACGAGUCAACAUGUCACCCUGCAGCUGCCCAGCCUGGGCUCGGUGCAGAAGCGUGCUCCAUGCAGGCUACAGUCCUGACACCUCACCUAGCACGCGCCUUGCGCUGACUUCAGCCAAGCGGGAGAUGAAGUGGAGCAAACCUGACUGACUGGGAUUCAGGGCGGACCAACAGCGUCAGCCCAGCCCCAGUGAGCAUAAGUUUAGGCCAACAGUGUCAGUGCUAUUCCACACCCGAAUUAGCACUAGUUUGGACCAAUGACAACCGUACUUUUCCAAAACGUAAUUAGCACAGUUUGGGCCAAUGGUGUUGACCCAAGUGCUGUGUAAACCUGAACUCUGCACCUUCAGUGGCAACGCUGGGGAGGUCUUUUUGCUCUUUGGGGCCUGCAUUUCUGUGCUCAUCGAGCAAAUCCUACUCUUACACUUACUCAUCUUGUCUCUGGACUUCAUUCUUGCAAUUCAGGAAGCAAGAAUCCAGAAAGAAGAAGUUGGUGGGGACUUGCUGGGGUCUGCUGCAGCAUGCUGGGCAUGGCCCGGUGCUAAGAGCUGCAGAGGCCUGCCCCUCUGCGGACCCCACCUUCCUUCUCAAAACCUCAGUUGUCCCACAGAACAGGACAGUGAGGCGACCUCUAAACGGGUGGUAGGGCUGUGUGCAGUGAAAGUUCGCCCUGCACACCGUUGCUGGCCAGCAAUCCUGCAGUCGCAGCCGCUCAGGCUGGGUGUGCUGGUCAAGGGGGUACAGGGUGGGCCAGCCGUGCCUCCCAGGAGGCCCUCCCAGGUGCCCAGCCAUCAGGCCAGAGUCCUGGUGCUUGAUCCUGGUGUGGUGUUCUGCCCCUCUGCCCCACUGGUGGUCUGCAUUUACCUGCAGCUGCCCACACUGGUGUGACACAGAUGUGUGGCUGGCCUGGUCCUCAGGUGGCCCCAUCUGCUGAGGCCUAGCUGGGAGCCAUCUGAGGGAUGUGGCCAAUGCUGUGGCAGCCUGGGGAGCUCGGAUUCUUGUGGGGGAAGGAGGGUGCUGCAUUCCCACCCACCCACAGGCUCCCCAGCACCCCCGGGUGCCCCUUCAGUGCUCUGGGGUUCAGCAUGUGCCCGCAGCCCGUGGAGCAGCUGGAGGGCCUCCUCCCCUUCCCCGGCAGGGCUUCUCCAGGCCUGGUGGUCCCUCCUCUGCCCUCCACAGCGUGCUGAUGUUCAGCCUCUGCCCGGGGACUGUUCUGUUACCACUUUAAACUCUUGGAGCUAAAAAUACCUUUCUCUCUGGAUGGCCUGUUUGUUUUUUGUUUUUAUUACUCUUUUCUCAGCUGUGGAUUUCGAAACUACUCAAAACAAAAGCUGAGGCAUAAUCGCUCCUUUCUUUCCCUGUUCUGCUUGAGUAACUCAUCCUCCCCAGGGCGGGCCUCCCCAGAGCCUCUGAACCGGAGGUUGGGGGAGUGCUGCUUCUGCGCAGAUGGAGGAGGCGGCUGGGCUGGGAGUGGACAGAGAGGCGUCUUGGGGACACUGAGGGACUGAGUUCUCUGAAGAGGAGGGUGUGUGCUAGGAAAGUGCCGGGAAGGCACGUGGAGCAAAAAUGUGGAAAGUGAGCCCCGGGAAAUGCCCGGCUCCCUUCACCCCACACGGAGGGCGGUCGGGCCCAGAGGAAGUGAAGACCAGAUCACGGGAGACACCUUCACCCGGCACUGUGGCCACGCCUGUGAUCCCAGGCCAGCCUCAGCAGCUUAGUGAGACCCUGUCUCAAAAACUAAAAAGGGCUGGGGAUGUAGUCAGUGGCAGAGUGCCCCUGGGUUCCAUCCCCAGUACCACAACAAGGUAUCCAGUUGCUCACCCUGUGUGGCCGUGAAGGUGUGAUACUCGGAAUACCCACCGCCAGAGGAGAAUUCAAAAGUCAUGAGAAAGUAAUUCAAAGUAUCUGACAGCUAAAUAAAAACAGUAUCAAGAAACAGGACAAGAGAAAGCAUGUUUCUUCAUUCUAGGAAGGACACAUGAAGGGGAGAAUCUUAUUCUGGUUUAAUAAAUACAAGUAAUGAUCAAAGACAGGUUUAGCCACCUAAGUGAGAAGUCCAGCUGUCCGGUGUGUUCCAGAAACUCACCAGAGCAAACAGCCACACGGUCACUCUCAGGGCCAGAUAUUUGGAUCAAAGGAAUUUGACAGACUUUUUUCACAAGCUUUUCAUGGGGGUUCUGAGCAAGCUGUGCCACUAACACAGCCCGAGCAUGCCUGCCUUUCCACUGGGACACUGAGUGACAAUAGAGCCACAGCCAUGAGCUUCACUGGCUGCAGUUCACUCUUGCUCAUGGGUCGGAGCUGGGUAGUCACAGGCUUGGAUUCCAGUCCUAAUUACUGAUCCCCGUGACGCGCCUCCCACGUCCAUCCUACUGUGUUACAGAACGGUGAGGAAAGGGUUAGGCGGCCCCAGGGGUUCAGGAGGCUGAGCUGAGAGCAAAGGCAGAGGGCAGUGGGCAGAUGAGACUGGGGCUAGCUUCAGACCACACUCUGAAACACUCCUUCAGGCUCACUCUAGGCUAGGGGCCAGACUGCAGCCUCAGUGUCAGCUUGAGAUGUCAUCUGUGUCAUCGUCACAGGCAGAAGAAACAGCACUGAGCAAAAUAAAAAAUAAGAAGGGCUGGGAUGCAGCUCAGUGGGAACGCGCCCUGGGUUCCAUCCCCAGUACCAAAGAUAAAGGAGUAAUGAAGAUUUGAAAGUACUUGCAAGUGGGCUGCAGUGGCUCAGUGGCAGAGGGCUUGCCCAGCGUCCACUAGGCUCUGGGCGCCAUUCCCAGCUCCUCAAAAAAUACAGUUGUUAUGAUUUCAGAGUGGCCUGAAGGCCUAAUUAGCCUGGCCCAAGCAUCAUUUAAAAACAAAACCCAAAAAAACCCUCUGAGGAUCUAUCAUUUCUCCUACUUUAUACGUGACGUUGAGACUCAAGAGAAUUUGUUUCAAAGUGAUACACCCAGUAAGUAAUGACAGUAAGUAAUGAUGGAAGAAUUUUAAACUGAGCCUGUUAUCCAAGUCAGAGAACAGUCUGUCCAAUAAGAAGUAAUUAGUUAGAUAGUUAAUGUUACACCCAUAUCAUGGACUAUUAUGCAGCCAUUCAAAUGAUGCACAAAUUAUUUUAAACUGAAAGAGAAGGUAAAAAAUGUUUAUUAUAUGACUUUAUUUAAAAUAUGUAAAAUUAUAAAAAUAUAUAUAAAAUUAUAAAUGUAUGUCUACUUUCCUAUAAAGAAAUAGAAGCAAAUUGAAACUAUAGGAACCCUUGUCUAAAAAUGAGCAAGCAUUUCACGAUGGGGUCGGCAAGGCUCGGACCUCAAACACAGACCCCGGGCCGCGCCAAGCCAGCACUUGGGCAGCGGCACCAUGACCGUGCUCCUGGUGUCCUCCCUACAGUGACCUGUGUCUUUCCCUGGUAAUAGGAAGGACAUACUCAUGGAAUGGCCUGGAGUCCAGGGCAGCCCGUAGGUUGGGGCUCGGGCUCUGCAGAUCUAAACCCAGACGUGCCGGGCAGAGCCAUUUCCCUGCCGCUGACCUCCUGCUCUGCUUCCCACUUGCUGUACUUGGGUGCAGUUUGUCUCCCAAGGGCUCAUGAGCUGGGGGCUUGGUCCCCGUGUGAUGCUGCUGAGAGAUGCUGGACCCUCGCGGAGAGUAGGCACAGGGCACUGCCCUGGAAGGGACAAUGCCAUCUCAAGAGGGGCUUAGACAGUACUGAGUUGUAAGACCAAGUGGUUAAGAGUGAGUUUGGUUUUCUCGUUUAUUCUCUUGCCUCCUCCUGGGGUCCCAUCCCCAGCACCCACACCUGUGCGACCUCUAUCUCUCACGUGUGAUCUUGCCACAUGACGCCAUCCGCCACAAGGCCUUCACCAGAAGCCAGUGCCAGAACUGUGAGCUAAAUAAGCCUCUUUUCUUUAUGAGUUAUCCAGCCUUAGGUUGGUUAUAGUAACACAAAUGGACAAAGACAUUGCCUGAAUAAUUUGAUCCCCAAGCCAGUAAGAGGGUGGAACAAAAAUAAGCAUUCAUAUUAGGGAAUGGGGUUGGUGACCCUGAAUAAGGAGCCGGAGCCCAAGAGGGAUGGAAGGGCAUCUGCAUGGAGUCGGGUGGCAGUGGGGGAUGUCACAUGGAGCCCAGGCAAGAUAAGGAAAGCACUCAUGAGGGUCCGUCCUCCAGCAGGGGAUGUUGGAGGCAGAAUGAGGUGAGGAAGAGGCCCCUUCAGGAGCAGGGUGAGGAGGAGAGACUGAAGAUUGGAGGGGAAUCUAAUAAACCAAUACACUGAGUAAAGGGAACCAGAUUGCUUACUGUUAGAAAAGAGUUCCGUGGCACAUGUCUGUAGUCUCCGUGACGUGGGAGGCUAAGGCAGGAGGAUCAAAGUUUAAGGCCAGCCUCAGCAACUUAGCAAGACCCUGUCUCCAUAUUAAAAAUGAAAUGUGCUCGGGAUGUAGCUCAGUAGUGGAGCACCCCUGGGUUCUGCCAAAAAAAGAAAAAAAAGAGUUACAAAUAUAAAAAGGAGAAAAAUGUAAUUGAUACUAUGGUGUUGUGGUGUGUAAGAUUAAAACUGGGUAUAUCACUUGUGUUUUCAGUAGUAUAAGUGUGUGAGCAUGUGUCCAUAUACACGUAUGUAGAGAUUUCCAGACCUGCCUGAGAGCCAUGUCGUUGCUCUAACAUAGAGCAUACCUAGCCCAGAACAUUCCUAAUUCCACUCUGUGAACACACACACACCACGACUAGCAGCAGCAGCUGCAACCAACUUUAAAGAUAUACCUGAUUUCAGGUCUAGGGAAGGGAAUUUACGAGAACAGUCAGUGACAUUUGUUUGUGUCUGUCAGAAAGUAAAAAUGGGUUCAAAGAAUGACAGGAAUCUGGCAUGACAGAUCUUGGACAUGAUGGCACCCUACUGGCUGGCCAGCCUGGGGUAAGAGGGCCAUCAGUGAACCGCAGUGAACCGCGGUGGACGAGGCAGGAGCAGGCUGGGCUCUAGGCCAGCCAGGUGGCUGAGUGAGGCCCUCUCUCAAAAUACAAUCUUUGCAAAAGGACAGGGGAAGUGGCUCAGUGGCGAUGCUGCCGACCAUGCUUGAGGCCUGGUCCCGUCCCCAGCACCCACACCCAGAAACAGCCCCACAGCAACGUGGCAGACACAUCAUUGCCCGGGAAACCAAACCAACAUGUGAGUCCUACUAAUGUGAAAAUACCAAAUCUACGAAGGAAGAGAAAGCUUUUCCUUACAGCGCAGUGUCACCUAAUAAAAGUGGAAGGAGUGGUGACAUCGCCAAUGCCAUUCCGUGUCACAUAGAAGCUGUUGUGUGCCUCCAAGGCAAAGCACAGACAGCUUGCCAGGUUGGGAACCAAAGGGAAGGUCCCGACUAACACAAGACGGAUAAAGGACGGCUCCUCUGCAGCCUCAGUGGGCCAGGUAAUUGGCACUUACGUUCCCAGUGCGUUGACACAUCCCAAUCUCAAGGAACGUCCCCAUUCCCACAUGUGUGCAAAGUGGAAAGACCUUUCUGGGAAAAUUCUCUAACCAAGUGAAAAUUAAAUUCAUGAUAAGGAAGAAGAGAGUUCAAGAAACACUGGACGAUGAAUCAGAUAAUAUUCACAGUGAGGUCGAAGAUGACGGUGGCUAACUGGGAAUUACUCUGUUAGGGAUUGCGAAACAGGAGAGACUCGUUUCUCAAUCCUCAGGCCAUGUCCAGGGUUGCAACGCUGUCAUUAUCUUGUCCAACGCAAGACCCUGGUGGCAGGGAAGAUGACCUGGUUAAGGUCCUGAAUCUCUCACUUCCCUGGGAGAAGAGGAGAGCCUAGAGCUUGAGAUCCGGUCAGAAGUCUGCGAGUAGAGCUGGGCUGUGGCUCGGCGGGAGAGCACUUGCCUGGCACGGGCGGGGCACCGGGCUCCAUCCUCAGCGCCACGUAAAAAUAAGUGAAGUAAAGGUGUGUGUCCAUCUACAACUCAAAAAAAAUGUUUAAAAGUCAAGGCUGUGCACAGUUCUGGCAUGUGAGUAGAAAUACAGACUUAAUAAGACGGGGAGGAACGGGACGGCUGUUAGGACAGCUGAAAGGUCUGCCAGGGACGAGCGGGUACAGUCCUGGUUACUUACCCUCCACGUAGAACGGUGAGCGCACUACUGUGCUGAAGGAGGUCCCCAGCUGCAGAGUGGAGGCCCGUGGUGGGAAUUCCCAGUGUGAGCCCAGGAGGAAAGAAAGGAAAAGAAGGGUGUCCGCCCAAUCACCAAAGUCAGACAGGGAAGUCGACAUCUAGAAAUGAACAAAUUGGAGGGAAUAAAGUCACAUGAAUGUUGACUGUGAACGCAAAGUGCUCCUACCCAAAGGCAAACAUUUGAAAAUCAGAUCCAGUCACGGACGACGAGGGUCAGAGUGGCAGCAAGUGACAGAUGUGAAGCAGGAUGAUCUGAGGAAGGGUGGCUGGGGAAGGUGGGGGUGGGAGAACAGCCUGCAGCCCCCGUGCCCUGGGCUAAGUCCAGCAGAGCGGCCACCUUCCUGGCCCGGAGGGCAGGGCGCAGUGCUAGACCUGGAAGGGAGGACACACCGGAGGAGGCCACCAGGGAAGAGCAGUGACUCCGGCUGAGAGCCUCGCAGCCCCAGGGGCGUCACAGGGAGGGCUAGAGAGCACAGGCAGCAGCUGGCCUGGACGUGCAGAGCAGCCUGCGGGGGCAGAGAGCAGGCAGGGCCCAGGGCGUCCAGAGGUGCAGGUGCUAUUCACAGAAUCAGAGCCUGGGUAAGGGGUGGCAAAGGUGUCCAGCUGCCGGCCCUCUGAUGGAAUGGAGCGUUGGGGAGUCCUGCUCUGAUCAGGUUCCUAACUGCAACAGCACUUGUCCUACCAGCCAGGAGACACGGAAUUUAUGCUACACCCAAAUCUGGGACGUGUGUGAGAGGGGGUGUCACUGAACUGCUCACCUGGGUGCCAGGCCACCAGAAUAUCACUCUGGGACUUAUAUGGGCACAGCGGCCAACGUCCCUGUCCCCACCAUCUAUGUAAAGGAAGGAAUGGGACAGGGAGGUGGUAUGAGGGCCCUGGGAAUGCAGUGUUCCAGGGGAGGGGUGCGGCUCCUGGACUGGGGGCCGCAGGGUCCCAGGACACCACUCCAGUCAGGUUGCAUGCCACAGCAGCCCGGCCAGAGAGCUCCCAGAGAAUGUGGAGGCCGGGAAGGGAGAUCCGGAGAGCCUUGAGGGCGGGGCCAGGUGAUGGCAAGGCUGAAGGGGACCGGAGGCCGAGGCAGCUCUUCUCCCCACUCCUGCACCAGCGGGCGCUGCUCUGUGGGUCUCAGUCCUUCAGUACUGGAAACAGCUCCGGCCUGGCGCACAGGUGUUACCCAGCUCUUCAAAGACUCUGUGCAGUGGGUGGAGAGUCCCCACAGAGGCCAUUUGGUAAAUUGUGUAUGGGAAGUGCUUCUCCACAGCGUGGCAGAAGGAGCCACCUCAACGUGGCCAAGGAGCACCUAAACGCCCAGAGCAGCAGGUUGGCAAACAUAGCAGCUUCCUGAAAUUUAAUUCUGAGAAUAGUAAUUCUAUCACUUAUGUAGCAAGACAAGAAACUAUAAGGUUGAGGAAGGAGAGAGUAAAUUCAUUUUAUAUGUGAAACAUUUAUAUAGAUAAACCUUUAAAUGUAUUUAGAAAUAUCAACAUAAAUGUAUUUUUAGACUCUGAUUGCAGCAGUCCCCAAAAGGGCCUUGGCCAGGGACAGACACAGCGAGGGCGAUGGUGCUCGGGCUGGAGGCGUGUGGGUGGAGUCGCCACUGCAGUCAGACUUCUGUUGUCCUGAAGUUGCUUAAGCAACAAAUGAAAUCAGAGGCCUGAGAAACAGGGACAAAUGGGUGGAAGGAUGACAGGCAGCCAUUAGACAGCACUCAGGAGUUUCACUGUGGAGGAAGCAGAGGACGGGGUGGACCCGGGAAGGGAGUCGGGUGGGGAAAGGGUCUGUGUGCCGCCGGGAAGCUCAAACACAUCUUCAGAAUGAUGGACUGACAGCGAGUGGGGACACCGGUGCUGCAGAAAGCAGGUGCAGGAGCCAGGCCUCCGCCAGGAGAGGGGUGGGGCCUGCACAGCAGUGGAGGCCCUGAGCCAGGGCAGGCCGGGAGGAGGAGAGUGGGCGGAGUGGACGCCGCGGGGUUGGUACCUGAUGGUGAACCUCAUGGGGAUUCUGUUCUGAUGGACCCCUCGAUCCCAGGGAAUGAGCAAAGCAAGGGUCGACUGAAAGUGUGGAGUCUAAGACAAAGGAGGUGGAGAAGGCCUUCCUGGUGCAAAGAGUUCAAGGACCAGGCCACGCAAGCUUCCUGGGAGCCGAGGUCCACUGGAGGCUUGGCAGGACGGUCUCACUGCCACGUCCUGGGGAGACCCCGCCCGCGCCACCUUCUCGGCCACCUCCCCUGGCUCCAUUGGCAUCUCAGGUGGUCCCUCUGAGAGGAGCUGGUGGGUGCUGUCACCCUUCUCACCUCACCUGAGCACAGGGAGAUGGCGAGCGGCCGGCGGCCGUGGCCCAGUGUCAGCUCCUGUUCACUCUGGGCACUCUGUCCUCACACGAGGGUGUCCACAGACAUGGGUACCCUGGUGCCAGGCUCUGCUCCUCUGGCCGGUUGGUGUGAAUGCACGAGGGCGACCCCAGAGGCAGGAUGCAGAAAAAUGAAGGAAUCAGUCAUUGUGCUCUGAGCCGUGAUGCGAUCUUUUUUCUUUUCUUUUUUUAUUGGGUGACUUUAAGUGAUGACAGGGCCACACAGAUUGCAUGACUAACUCUGCUCAAAGCAGCAUACUCCUUUGUAGCCUUUUGCAGUUUGAACGCUGAUGUCAUGGGCACUACUUCAUGGUGGUGAGGUGAACGGGAGGGCACGGUGGGUUCAUCCUAGGGGAUCAGGAGAUGACCAGGGAAUGCAUAAGAAACCCCGAGGGGAAGCAAACACAGUGAGAGGGGAAAGAGAGGGAAGUGAUUGAGCAAGACAACAGCAUUUUGUUCUUGUUCCUUUAAGAAUACAUGUUCUAGGCCGGAAUCCCACAGGCUGGAGGCUGAGGCAGGAGAAUCAUGAGUUCAAAGCCAGCCUCAGCAACUUAAUGAGACCCUAAGCAGCUUAGCAGGAUGCUGUCUCAAAACAAAAAAUAAAAAGGGUUGGGUAUGUGGCUCAGUGAUUAAGUGGUGGGUUCAAUCCCUGGUAACCAAAAAAACAAAACCAAACCAAAAAAGCAAAACUUAUUAUAUCUGGGCACAGCUGAAUACCAGUGGCUCUGGAGGCUGAGGCAGGAGGAGGCCACAAGUUUGAGGCCAGCCUCAGCCAUUUAGUGAGAUCUGCUGCAAAAUAAAAAAUGAAAAGGGACGUAGCUCAAUGGCGGAGUCCCUGGAUUCAAUCUCCAGCACACACACACACACACACACACACACACACACACAGUUAUCUGUGGAGUAAGUUCAGCAGAAAAGAACAAGGUCAGUGUGCUGGACUGGGGUUUCCUGCCUGACCCCAGAGGCUAGCCCACGGUGACCCCUGUGGUCCACCGGAACAGGGACAGCCUCUUCCCUUGCAGAUGGCGAGCUGCACCUCUUCGAGUCUUGGGCCUCUGGUCAUGCCUGUCACCGGCCAGCUGGAGCCGGAGGACUGCUUUGAAUACUGGUGUUCUAACAUCUCAGGUCACAUGGCAGUCACUGUCCGGCAGUGUCUCACAGACUCAGGAAAAGAUCCCAGUUCCACAGUGAGGCUGAAGUCCAGAUGAAACCAGUGAGGAGCGGGCAGCGUUGGCCUCUGGCUGUCUGAAGGCAGCUUCUGGGGUGCCCAUCAGGAAGAGUGUGGGGAAGGAAGCCCUCAGGCCACUUUUGUGUGAGGCUUAGACUUGUUGAGACCCACCUGACCCAGCUGCCCAAGUCGGGAGACCUUCGUCAUCCAGUGAAGGCCUUACAGAGGGUCUUCUGUAUGGAGGGUGGGCUAUUGCCUUCCGCCAGCUGCCGCCGCUGCACCAAUGAUCAAGUGCAGUGAGACCCGUGGAGGGAAGACCAAGGGACGAGGAGCAGCCAGGAGUUACUUCUGAGAGAGUAAUCAGAAUCAUGCAGAGAGCAGACCGUAACGAAAUGGGGAUUAAUUAAAAGUCCACAGACAACAGGUUAAAUAAACUACAGUAUAUCCACACAAUGAGAUAGGGUCAUAAUAAAGUCAUGGAAAACCAAUUAAUGACGCAUGGAAAUGUUCAGGAUAUAUGAAUACAUGGAAAAUAAAGUUAUGAAAGAGUGUGUUUGGCAUGACCCAAUUAUGUAAAAACAAAAUAAAGCAAGACAAAAACUGUGUCUCUCUACCCUCAUCUGUUCCUCUGUCUGGGAAGGGUAUACCAGCAAAUGUUCCCACAAUAAUUUUGGCCGCAGAUAGUACAGCAAUCUUUUCUUCUUUGAGCUUGCCUUCAUGAAUAUUCCCAAAGUUACAGAAACAAAAACAAAUAUAUAAUUGGAUUCAAUAUAACUGACAUUUGAAAGAGAAGAUCUCAGGGUGUGUUAAUCAACCCAACUCCUAAAUUAUCUAUCCUCUUGUUAGAUCAACACACCACAAUAUCUUUGAAAUAUGACAUUUUAAUCCCUGCAGAAAUGCUGCAGCAUAGGUGAUUAAAAAUUGAACAUUGGCUGGGUGCGGUGGUGCAUGCCUGUAAUCCCAGCUGCUCAGGAGGCUGAGGCAGGAGCAUCUUGAGUUCAAAGUCAGCCUCACCAACUCGAGGCACUAAACAACUCAGUGAGACCCUGUCUCUAAAUAAAAUACAAAAUAGGGCUGGGGAUGUGGCUCGGUGGUCAAAUGCCCCUGAGUUCAAUCCCUGGUACCAACAAAAUAAAUACAAAUAAAAAUUUAAAAAGUUGAACACUUGACUGACUUUGAUAUGAAGAACAUUUUCUUUUUUUUUUUUAGAGAGAGAAUUUUUUAAUAUUUAUUUAGUUUUCGGUGGACACAACAUCUUUAUUUUAUUUUUUAUGUGGUGCUGAGGAUCGAACCCAGCACCCCGUGCAUGCCAGGUGAGCGCGCUAAGGCUUGAGCCACAUCCCUGCCCUGAAGAACAUUUUCUUAAUGAUUUGCAAAACUAUAUUUCAAGACUUGGGUCCUAUUCCUUUUGUAAAGAGCUGCUCCACGGGUUUAUAAGAGAAUUGAUGCCAAGGAAGGGUUUAUGUUUUGGUAAGUUUUUAUUCUACAGCACAAAUUUUAGAACACAUCUUGUGUUGCCUGCCUGAAAGAUAAGAAGUGAAUUUACUCAUCGAUUGUUGUGAAGACAUGGCCACAGAUCUCCUAUGGUUAGGAUCUCGCCUCGUAACUGAUUGUGUUGCUCAGUUUCAGUUUUUCAAACUCUUUUCUCUUAGGUGCUUCAUAGGCAACUCAUCUCAAAUGAUAUUUUCAAAACUGACAUGUGAAGCACAGAGAUUGCCAGGUGUUCUCUAAUAACUGAAUAAGAAGAAAUGGAAAUUAGCACUCUUUAUGUCCGCACGCGUGUAUAAGCUAGUUUUAAAACAGUUCUUCCUGUUUGUUCAGCCUUCCUGUCGGAAUUCUGAGGGCUUCUGAAGUGAAUUUUCACUGUCACUUCAUCACAGUAAAAACUACUGAUCAAAACAAUGGCUUUUCAGACAGUGGGCUGUUUGGGAGAGUUUACAUCAAUGGAAUGCUCUUUCCUACCAGAAGGAACCUUAUGAAAACAUUUGAAAUUUCCACAUCUAGCCAAGUCCCAUUCAGCUUAGGAAGCUCCCUGCUCAUCUCUUCCACGGCUCUGAGAAGACCUCCCAUUAGGAGCUGGGAUUUGGUCCUCUGCUAAUGACUACAAGCUUGAAAUGUCCAUGACCUUUUCUAUCCCUGGGGCUGACUGCGGGGUCGGGCUUGAGGUCACUGGCUGGAAAAUCACAAUGUCCUGAUGUUGGGGGAGGAGAAGUGAACUUGCACUAGAGACAAGGCGGGACUUCCUCGGCCAUGAGGGAGUCAGUCCUGCUUCACCCAGGGGCUGCCUGCCCUGCGGCGCCAGGUGGGGAGAAUCAUGGAGAACCAGCUGUCCCCCGAGUCAGUGUCCAGACAUGGCAUCAGCACCCAUUGGGCUGUCCUGGGAAGUGUCGAGUGUCAAGUUUGUAUCCAUCUGUUUAUUUAAAUCGAGGACAUAAAGUUAACAUGAAGCACAGAGGAUUCUUCUGGUGAUGAUGGAGUCCCUGCCUGGACACAGGAAGUCCACAGCAGCCCUCAUUUCUCCUGCCCUGGGGGUGGCCUCCAUGAUUUCACAGCAGAUGGUGCAACCUGGACCUCAAGACCUGGUAUGAUUGUGUUCAACAGGACAAAAAUGUGUGCAUUUUACUGGAAUUUUCAUAAGGAAAUGGGUUUAAUGGAAGUUUCAUCAUAGAAGGAUGCACAUGUUGAGUUCCACUACCAAGUGUGCAUGCGCAUUUCAAGACCUGCACUAGGAGUGUGAGUGAGUCUUGUGAAGCUUUAAAACCAAGCAUGCUUUCUUCUCCAGGCCGGUAUAUACUUUGUAGAGGAAAAAAAAAAAUCCUUUUCCUCACCCAUUGCUAGGUUCACAGCUGAGCAGCCCCCAUAACAAAAGACAGUUCAACAAGAGAAAAACAUACUAAUUUAUUUCAAUUUUUUGUGACACAGGAGCCUUGGCAAACGACCCAGAUGAAGAGAGAAACCUGGGAGUUUUUUGCUCAGUUUGGUGAGGAAGCACACUGUUGUGCGGCAGGCAGGGUGACCGGACAAAGGAGGUUUGAGCUAAUGGGAGUCAAUGGGGAGGGGGACUAGCAAGUGCUGUUAGGUCAGAUUCCUGUGUCCCUGUGUCUUCAGAGGUGAGGGAACUCUGUUCCUCCAGGUGGAAGGAAGGCAUUUCUGCAAAGAGCAUCAAUGACCUGCUCUGGCGAAGGAUGGAGGAAGGUGAGAGGGGCCUUCCCGCCUCUGCCGCGAGUGCUGCAUUUUGGGGUAGCAGGUCCUGAACCCCAUCAAUUUGCUGAUCUCUACAAAAUGGACUACUUUUAUCUUCAUUGAAAAUCCAUGGGGAUGCUUUGCUCCCUUUCCAGAUGUUCUCAGUAGGUGUCCCGGUGUCACCUGGUGCCUCCGGAGGACUCAGACAACUGCCAUGAAACCAGAGUGUUCCACUUGCGCGGGGAUAAAAUCUAACCCGAAACGUGGCUCAGCAACUACCCAGAAGUUUGGGCAGCAGCUACAAGAGUUAAAUAUUUACAUGGACCAGGACUUGUGGAAGGAACUUCAUUCCAUGUUAUUGUUACUUAGUUCCUUCUAAAACCUGGCCAGGGGGUAGCACAGGAAAGUUUGAUAUAGCUCUGAGAAGGUCCACAUCUCCAAGAUGGUGUUGAUUUCAAGAAGAGAUCACUGAAAUGGUUGUCUCAAGUUCCUGUCCACUCCCCUCACUCCGUCCUUAAGUGCAAGGGGUUAGCUUUCAGCAGAACCAUGGGCAGUCAUGCUACUUACAUUCUCAAAUAAUUACCGGACCAUAAGGACAAUAUUUAGGUAAAAAUAAUUAGAACUAAUAAAAUCUGAUAAGAUGAUGGAUACAAAACUCAUUAUUAUGAAAAAGUCACUAGGUUCCAGUGAUAACUAUUUCAAUAUUUAAAAGGAGAAAAAAUUCUCUCACAUUACCAAAAUGAAUUAGUUUGGAAUUCUUAAGAAGUAAUCAGGGCUGGGGUUGUGGCUCAGUGCAGAGCACUUGCCUGGCAUGUGUGAAGCAUUGGGUUCGAUUCUCAGCACCACAUAUCAAUAAAUAAA